RNAcentral lists this microRNA precursor (66 nucleotides) under Canis lupus familiaris (dog). RNAcentral describes it as "mir-8834 microRNA precursor family". It matches the Rfam family "mir-8834 microRNA precursor family", at positions 17 to 82 of the family's 105-position model. RNAcentral also lists the same sequence under 1 other name. Lineage: Eukaryota; Metazoa; Chordata; Mammalia; Carnivora; Canidae. The record is from Rfam by way of RNAcentral.
GUGGCGGGGCCACCUCUGGAGCCCUGGAUUCAGCCCCCACAGGAACUCCGGAGCUCUCAGCCUGCA